AGGACGAACGCUGGCGGCGUGCUUAACACAUGCAAGUCGAGCGGAAAGGCCCUUCGGGGUACUCGAGCGGCGAACGGGUGAGUAACACGUGAGCAACCUGCCCUUAGCUUCGGGAUAGCUCCGGGAAACCGGAAUUAAAUACCGAAUAUGACUUUGGCUGACAUCAGCAGAAGUGGAAAGUUUUUCGGCUAGGGAUGGACUCGCGGCCUAUCAGCUAGUUGGUGAGGUAACGGCCCACCAAGGCGACG
This 248-nucleotide ribosomal RNA is filed under the name uncultured bacterium. Its description in RNAcentral is "partial small subunit ribosomal RNA". It matches the Rfam family "Bacterial small subunit ribosomal RNA", at positions 26 to 278 of the family's 1533-position model. The record is from RNAcentral.